UACGUAGGGUGCAAGCGUUGUCCGGAUUUAUUGGGUUUAAAGGGUGCGCAGGCGGCACAGUAAGUCAGGGGUUAAAGGCAGCGGCUCAACCGUUGUAAAGCCUUUGAUACUGUUGUGCUUGAGUAUACAAGAGGGAGCUGGAAUGCGUGGUGUAGCGGUGAAAUGCAUAGAUAUCACGCAGAACGCCGAUUGCGAAGGCAGGUUUCUAUUGUAAAACUGACGCUGAGGCACGAAAGCGUGGGGAGCGAACAGG
RNAcentral lists this ribosomal RNA (253 nucleotides) under uncultured bacterium. RNAcentral describes it as "partial 16S ribosomal RNA". It matches the Rfam family "Bacterial small subunit ribosomal RNA", at positions 524 to 776 of the family's 1533-position model. The record is from RNAcentral.